AAUUCGGAACUGGCCGGUAAAUGAUACAGAAACCUCGUUCUGCUCUGUACUGCGGCGGUGUAAUUAUUAUGCAACUUUCGCAUCGAUGGCUGCUAGUGGUGCUGGCGGUCGCACAUUUUAUGCUGUUAUCGACAACAGUAGCGUUAGCAUCGCCGCUUCCAAAAGCUCAACUGGAAGAGGAGAGUGUCUGCGGCCCGCCAGGAAACGAGGUUCGUUGUUUUUGCAAGGGAGAAGGGGCCAAUAUGGUGUGCACAGUAUUCUAGACGGAGCUAGCCUAUUACUAGAACAAGAUAAGUUUUGUGAUUGAUGGUGAAAAUAGCAGUAAUAAACUGUAUCAUACCGCGAAAAUCGUUCAAACGUUAGGUUGGCGUCUUGGCGAACAGCUUUCUCUUCCAGCAUUUCAUUUUGUCAACCUCAACAUGAGCAACUUUUUGUGCAGAAAGUGUCGAAACAAUAAAGGUUCUUGACGGCAACUAAUGCGGGCUUGACACGAAAAUUUA
Long non-coding RNA from Wyeomyia smithii (pitcher-plant mosquito), 500 nucleotides. RefSeq lists it as uncharacterized. The transcript has 2 exons. The record is from RefSeq and is a predicted model, not a curated record. Lineage: Eukaryota; Metazoa; Arthropoda; Insecta; Diptera; Culicidae.